AUGAGUUUGAUCCUGGCUCAGAAGGAACGCUAGCUAUAUGCUUAACACAUGCAAGUCGAACGUUGUUUUCGGGGAGCUGGGCAGAAGGAAAAGAGGCUCCUAGCGUGAAGGUUGCUUGUCUCGCCCAGGAGGUGGGAACAGUUGAAAACAAAGUGGCGAACGGGUGCGUAAUGCGUGGGAAUCUGCCGAACAGUUCGGGCCAAAUCCUGAAGAAAGCUAAAAAGCGCUGUUUGAUGAGCCUGCGUAGUAUUAGGUAGUUGGUCAGGCUAAAGGCUGACCAAGCCAAUG
RNAcentral lists this ribosomal RNA (288 nucleotides) under Glycine max (soybean). Its description in RNAcentral is "partial 19S ribosomal RNA". It matches the Rfam family "Bacterial small subunit ribosomal RNA", at positions 1 to 278 of the family's 1533-position model. The record is from RNAcentral. Lineage: Eukaryota; Viridiplantae; Streptophyta; Magnoliopsida; Fabales; Fabaceae.